GCCUGUGUGGUGUAAUGGUUUGGAUGCUGGACUAGGACUGGGAGACCAGGGUUCGAAUCCUGGCUCAGCCA
Phrynosoma platyrhinos (Desert horned lizard) is the source of this 71-nucleotide non-coding RNA. The record is from the annotation of a GenBank genome assembly. NCBI's taxonomy places the organism in Eukaryota, Metazoa, Chordata, Lepidosauria, Squamata, Phrynosomatidae.